AAGUCGUAACAAGGUCUCCGUUGGUGAACCAGCGGAGGGAUCAUUACAGAGUUGCAAAACUCCCUAAACCAUCGUGAACCUACCGCUAAACAGUUGCUUCGGCGGGUGGCGGGCGUGCCCCCCCAGGGGGGAAGCCCGCCGCCGAGCCCGCCGGAGGAAAACCAAAACUCUUGUUUUUACUACCGGCCUCUCUGAGUAUACUUACUUAAAAUAAGUCAAAACUUUCAACAACGGAUCUCUUGGUUCUG
This 248-nucleotide unclassified non-coding RNA is filed under the name Cladorrhinum sp. RNAcentral's name for it is "partial internal transcribed spacer region". The stretch from base 1 to 46 matches the Rfam family "Eukaryotic small subunit ribosomal RNA", at positions 1786 to 1831 of the family's 1831-position model. The record is from RNAcentral. Lineage: Eukaryota; Fungi; Ascomycota; Sordariomycetes; Sordariales; Podosporaceae.